UCCCUGAAUUUCAUCCGAAGAGCAGCUGCCCUCUGAUCUGAAAUACUCAUUUUGUCUUUAUGUGAGGAAGAUAUAAACUUUCACUGGGAAGCUCCCUGAGGCCUUCUAGAUGCAGAUGCCACUAUUCUUCCUGUACAGCCUGCAGAACUAAGGAUUCCUGAAGUAGGCAGUUCCAGAGCUGAUCAGCAACUCACAAAUGUGAUCGGGAGUCCAGACACUUUCCAUCCUUCAACACCAGCAUCAUUAGCAGGCUGGCUUCUCAUCCUCAUACUCAUCAUCUCACUGUCAUGAGCAGGCUGCCACAGCUCUAAGCAUCAAGGCUUCAUGCUAAUUACAUUCAAAGAUGAGAAAAAGAGGGCAAAGGAAAAAUACCUCUUCUGUUCAUCAGGAAAGAAGAAUUUCCCAGAUUUUCUCCUGUUCCCAUGGUGGGGACUGAAUCACAUGGCCAUCUCUAACUGUAAGGCAGGCCAAAAUGUUCUGUUAAAGACAGCUUCUUCUUGCUCCUCAGAAACACUGGCUGCUCAUCUGGCCCCAAAAUCUGCACAUGGUUCAUUCCUUCAUUUCAUUUCUGCAUUGAAACCUCUUACUAAUGGGAAUGCUUUUUUUUUUUUUUGAGCAAAUAAAGACUACCAAAGACUGCAAGACUCCUCUGCAGAAAGGAGUGUACAAUGGAAGAAACAAUCCUGAGCUGGAAGUCAGAGCCAGGGGUUCUGGUCCCAACACUCCUCUAACCAU
This is a long non-coding RNA of Pan troglodytes (chimpanzee), 735 nucleotides long. RefSeq lists it as uncharacterized. The transcript is spliced from 5 exons. NCBI's taxonomy places the organism in Eukaryota, Metazoa, Chordata, Mammalia, Primates, Hominidae. The record is from RefSeq and is a predicted model, not a curated record.